This 960-nucleotide ribosomal RNA is filed under the name Bacillus sp. (in: firmicutes). RNAcentral describes it as "Bacillus sp. (in: Bacteria) partial 16S ribosomal RNA". It matches the Rfam family "Bacterial small subunit ribosomal RNA", at positions 501 to 1471 of the family's 1533-position model. The record is from RNAcentral. Lineage: Bacteria; Bacillati; Bacillota; Bacilli; Caryophanales; Bacillaceae.
CUACGUGCCAGCAGCGCGUAUACGUAGUGCAGCGUAUCGAUAUGGCGUAAAGCGCGCGCAGUGUUUCUAAGUCUGAUGUGAAAGCCCACGGCUCAACCGUGGAAGGGUCAUUGGAACUGGGAAGACUUGAGUGCAAGAAGAAGAAAAGGUGAAUUUCCAUGUGGUAGCGGUGAAAAUGCGUAGAAGAUUAUGAAGAACCACCAGUUGGCGGAGGCGGACUUUUCUGUUUGUAACUGACCAUGAGGCGGGGAAGCGUGGGAACCAACCAGGAUAGAUACCUGGUAGUUCCCCCCGUUAACGAAGAAGUGCUAAGGGUUGGAGGUUUUCCCCCUUUAGUUGCGAAAGUUACGCCUUUAACCAUCCCCCCGGGGAAGUCGGGCGCCAGGCCGAAACUUCAAGGAAAUUGCGGGGGCCCCGCCCAACCGUUGAACCAGGGGGUUUAUUUGAAACCACGGGGAGGACCUUUCCCGGUUCUGGCAUCCUUCGACCACCCUAGGGGUUAGGGUUUUUCCUUGGGAACCGGAUGGCCAGGGGGGCCAGGUUGGUGUCCAGUUGGGUUGGGAGAAGGUGGGGUUAAUUCCGCCACGGACCCCAACCCUGGUUUUUAGUUCCCUCCAUUAAGUGGGCCAUUUUAGGGGGCCUCCCGUGGCCAACCCGAAGAAGGUGGGGAAGGCGGCCAAUCCUCCUUCCCCCUAAGGCCUGGGGUUCCCCACGUGUUCCAAGGGCGGGACCAAGAAGCGCCAGGCCCGGAAGGGGAAGUUAUUUCAUUAAACCGGUUUCAAUUUGGAAUGUUGGCUGCAAAUUCCCUUCCAGGAAGCGGGAUUCGUUAUUAAUCCGGGUCCACCAUGCCCCGGGGAUUCCUUCCCCGGCCUUGGUCCCCCCCGCCCUCCCCCCCCGGAAAGUUGGUACCCCCGGAAUUCGGGGGGGGUACCCUUUGGAGCCAGCCGCCUAAGUGACCAG